GUUUUGCAUCUCCUUUGCUCUCUCUCUCUCUAGAGUUUUCUCUCUCUAAGAUGAAAGCAAGGAAUUGAGCUUGUUUCUCUUUGCUCUAUGAGGUUUGCUGUAGGAGAGGGCCUGAAUCAGCUAUGAAGGAGUAAAAAGGAGGCUUAGGGAGAGGUAUUUCGUGACCCUAGCUUUGUAAGCAGCUGGGUUGAGGUUUGAGGGGGUUUGGAAAAUAGUCUCAACAGCUAGAGAGGGGUAAUUUUGCUGUAAUUCCUCUAUUUAUACCCAGGGGAAAACUAAAGUGAAGCUGUGAGAAGUUAGAGUAUUCAUUCUGAGUUGAAUAAUACGCUUUCGUGAACUGAUUGUGAAUAUACUUCAAUUUGAGGGAAGUGCAAUUUCAAGUUGAGAAUCUAUGCAAGUAAAUUUCAGCAUAUACUAAGUGUAUAAGUGAAGUAGUGAUGCAGUUUUGGAAUCUAAUUACAGCAGGUUAGUGACUUUUGAAGCAGAAUUGGGAGGUGAUUCUUCAAUCCUGAGCUAAGAAAAAACUGAAAUUGAAAUUUGAAAAAGUAUAUAUUUUCAGCAGCCUUGGAAUUCCUUUUGAGCUGAAGGUUGGGACUUUUGUGAGCUGGUUUUGAGGUGUUUCAACCAGGGGUUGAACUGAACCAAAUCAGUUAGAAGCAGGUUCACAGUGAACCAUUUGAUCUUAUUUGACUAAGUUUUGGAAGCUUUCGAAGGCUGAAUUUGAUACUCCAAUCUGAAUCAAAACGAGGAAUUAAGCAUUGAUACUGUACUAAGACACUCAGAGGCUUCGGAUUACCUUCAUUGGCAGAAUCGACGCGAGCUUCGGUAAUUAGAGCCUUCCAUUGCGGGAAAGGCUAGGGUUCCCGACGAGAAGUCAGUGGCUAGCUAGAGCCUUCUUGACGUUAAAUAGACAACCCUUACAACUUUAUACAGUUUCCUCCAGUAUUGUAUAUUAAGCCAUGUAAAUUGUGCUUUAGCCUUAUCUGUUGUAAUAGAGUUUUGAGUUGUAUAAGUUUAAACUUUUAAUUGUGCUCUGAUUACCUAGUGCAGUUAAGAUGUGGAUACUAUUUUGUUGA
This is a long non-coding RNA of Ananas comosus (pineapple), 1076 nucleotides long. RefSeq lists it as uncharacterized. The record is from RefSeq and is a predicted model, not a curated record. Lineage: Eukaryota; Viridiplantae; Streptophyta; Magnoliopsida; Poales; Bromeliaceae. The transcript is spliced from 7 exons.